UUGACGGGAGCUCUGCUGCAUUCAACCGAUCGGCCCAGCGGUCCAAUGGUUUUGACUUCCUCGAUGAGGGCAAUGCCGUUGAUAGCCGUUGGGUGCUUGAUCGGUGUAUUUGCGGCUGGUAUGCGCUGAGGGCUUUGUGGGCGCGUCUCGACGGGUGUGGAGUGGACCAUACCUUCUCGGUGUGGAACCCUUCGCGCUCUUAGGCAUGUCGCCCGUAAAGUUUCGAAAGUGCCGUCUCCGCUAUGGUGCAUCGGCUUUGUCGAGCUGCUGUCGCUUCAGGUUGGUCGCAUGCGACCGCCGGUUGUCGUCAAUGGCGUGAUGAGGUGCAGAUGCGCUGAGGCGUGCACCUCGGUGUGAACGUUGACCACCUAUCCGACCCGUCUUGAAACACGGACCAAGGAGUUUAGCAUAUGCGCGAGUCAUUGGGUGGAAAACCCAAAGGCGCAAUGAAAGUAAAAGUCGUCUCGAUGCGACCGAUAUGGGAUCCGUAUGGCUUCCGAGUCGUGCGGAGCACCAUAGCCCCGUCCCCGUUGCUUGCAAUAGGGCGGAGGUAGAGCGUAUACGCUGAGACCCGAAAGAUGGUGAACUAUGCCUGAGCAGGAUGAAGCCAGAGGAAACUCU
This 621-nucleotide ribosomal RNA is filed under the name Contracaecum rudolphii. RNAcentral's name for it is "eukaryotic LSU rRNA". It matches the Rfam family "Eukaryotic large subunit ribosomal RNA", at positions 590 to 865 of the family's 3401-position model. Lineage: Eukaryota; Metazoa; Nematoda; Chromadorea; Rhabditida; Anisakidae. The record is from RNAcentral.